Molecule: non-coding RNA, 72 nt
Organism: Sphaerodactylus townsendi
Lineage: Eukaryota; Metazoa; Chordata; Lepidosauria; Squamata; Sphaerodactylidae
Source: the annotation of a RefSeq genome assembly
GGGGGUGUAGCUCAGUGGUAAAGCAUCUGCUUCCUAUGCAGAAGGUCCCCGGUUCAAUCCCUGACAUCUCCG